This 433-nucleotide ribosomal RNA is filed under the name uncultured bacterium. RNAcentral's name for it is "partial 16S ribosomal RNA". It matches the Rfam family "Bacterial small subunit ribosomal RNA", at positions 29 to 507 of the family's 1533-position model. The record is from RNAcentral.
AACGAACGCUGGCGGCAUGCCUAACACAUGCAAGUCGAACGAGACCUUCGGGGCUAGUGGCGCACGGGUGCGUAACGCGUGGGAACCUGCCCUUAGGUUCGGAAUAACUCCCCGAAAGGGGUGCUAAUACCGGAUAAGGUCUUCGGACCAAAGAUUUAUCGCCUUUGGAUGGGCCCGCGUUGGAUUAGCUAGUUGGUUGGGUAAAAGCCUACCAAGGCGACGAUCCAUAGCUGGUCUGAGAGGAUGAUCAGCCACACUGGGACUGAGACACGGCCCAGACUCCUACGGGAGGCAGCAGUGGGGAAUCUUGGACAAUGGGCGAAAGCCUGAUCCAGCCAUGCCGCGUGAAUGAUGAAGGUCUUAGGGUUGUAAAGCUCUUUUACCCGGGAUGAUAAUGACAGUACCGGGAGAAUAAGCCCCGGCUAACUCCGUG